UAGGGAAUAUUGCACAAUGGGCGAAAGCCUGAUGCAGCAACGCCGCGUGUGCGAAGAAGGCCUUCGGGUCGUAAAGCACUUUUCUGGGAGAUGAGAAAGGACAGUAUCCCAGGAAUAAGUCUCGGCUAACUACGUGCCAGCAGCCGCGGUAAAACGUAGGAGGCGAGCGUUAUCCGGAUUCACUGGGCGUAAAGCGCGUGCAGGCGGUUUGGUAAGUUGGGCGUGAAAGCUCCCGGCUCAACUGGGAGAGGUCGUCCAAAACUACCAGACUAGAGAGCGAUAGAGGAAAAUGGAAUUCCCGGUGUAGUGGUGAAAUGCGUAGAUAUCGGGAGGAACACCAGUGGCGAAGGCGAUUUUCUGGAUCGUUUCUGACGCUCAGACGCGAAAGCUAGGGUAGCAAACGGGAUUAGAGACCCCGAUAGUCCUAGCUGUAAACGAUGUGAACUUGGCGUUGGUGGCUUAAACACCAUCAGUGCCGUAGCUAACGCGAUAAGUUCACCG
This 501-nucleotide ribosomal RNA is filed under the name uncultured Chloroflexota bacterium. Its description in RNAcentral is "bacterial SSU rRNA". It matches the Rfam family "Bacterial small subunit ribosomal RNA", at positions 355 to 871 of the family's 1533-position model. The record is from RNAcentral. Lineage: Bacteria; Bacillati; Chloroflexota.